GAGCUAGGCGCCUGGGGCAAGCGUGUAUAUAGUAAUUGAACACCACGUCAAAUGCGCCGCACCGCGCCGUGUCGUGUCUUCCAAUUUAAUGGCCGUCAAAAGCCCGCAUUUAUUGUCUAUCCAAAGUGUUAGUGUAUUAGUGCGUUUGCGUUUGUUCGCUUUGCCGCCCUUUUCGUUACGCUUUAGUAGGCGGGAAUUCGCUGCCAAAUCAUUCACGGGCAACUGACUGCAUUGCGCCCACCUGUUAGAGGUGGGGGUUCGUUCAUUCGUCGAAAUUGGAAAAGAGGAUGUGACUUUUUCGCUUAGAGGCCCUCAAAAGUAAGCACCAAAUUGAUAAAGUCGUAACUAAAUGUUCUUUAUCUCAAAGAGGUAUGCUUUUAUGGGUGAUAAAAGUAUAACCAAAAUUAAAAUGAACUUUGGAGUGGCAUAAGGAGACUCGGAGAAUAAGAUAUAUCGUUUUAUACCUAAACGUACAUAUGUGAUAUGUAGUACGUGUGAAUGAUUGCCGAUGAAGAGCUUGCCUAAUCUCCGCUUUUGCUUUCAAGUCGCUUUUCUGUGGAUUUUGUGUUACAUGUGUAUGUCCGUCCGUAUGCAUGUAUGGGAAGUUUUUAAUUAUUGUUAUACCCAUUGUGCCGCUUUCAAUUAAGUGCAGGCUCAAUAGAACGGCCUUCAACUCCCUUAGCUUGUGCUUACAUAACAAGCUAAGAGUGUGCGUAGGCGGGGAAGGGCUGCGAUGCUGUUAUCAGUGCGAAAAGAGCAAGAAAUAUCAAAACAGAGACAAAACAUGCGCAUAAGCUUUGUCAGUGUGUGUGUGCUUAAUGCCUCCCCACCCAUGCAUAUACUCCUCUCCUGCUAUUCCCUUCUCUUUGUAAACUUGUACCGUUUGUUUUGGAUACUUUAAGCAAAAUUCUCUUCGAAAUAUGCCCAAGCGACGGCGCACAUUGACCCACAACAUACAUAUGCAUACAUAUAUGCACACUUAUACGCUUAUGUACUAUAAGAUCCAUUGUUUGCCCCGCGCUGACUUUUCAGAAUUUGUAUUUUAAUGUCGCUGACAGCUUGUUCACGUUCCCGUUUCCCCCUGCUCCGCCCCCGUUGCGAUUGAUUUCCUUAUACGCCGCCUAACUGAUCUGCUUCGAUUCGCCUUGUUUUUUGUUCUUUUGUGCUUCUAUCAAAUUCCGUUCGGCCUGCUGCAGGAUGAAGCAGAACGUUUUGGCCACUUGCCAAAACCAUGCGGCGGCAUGGCCCAGGGGAGGAGAUGGUAAUAGCCGACAUUCUUAUCAUUUUGUCAGUUUAUAUUCUGUUAUGCGUCUUGAGUGCAUUGAGUGGAUUAUGUGAAUGAUGGGGGGAGUCUCCCCAUUCCCUAUUCCCUCUGCCAAGGUCAUAAUACCCUGUGCCGAAUAGGGCACAAGGGUAUGUACAUUGUAGCUGUCUUAACUUUUUCGCGACUUCAGGUGUUUUAGGUAUCCCACAUUUGGGAUGUCGGAUUGUCGGCUAUCGUUCGUAUCGUACUUGCUUUCACUUCCAUUUGACAUUUGGCAAAUUGUUAUUACAUAUUAUUAUUGUUAUGGCCCGGUUAGUGCGAUAAGAUCGCCGAUCGCAAUAGCCUGUACGAUUAUAUGGCUCUGCCUUACGCCAUACACAAUAUACCUGCUAUAUACGACAGCACAUAAUACUUAUCAAUUAUAUAGCAGCCACUUAAAACCCAACAAACUAGUGCAAAUUGAUUGAUGGAAUAAGCCUGAAACUCGAGAUUGGAGAGAGGCCGCAGGUGGGGAGACUGUGCUACGUGCAAUUACACACCCAAUCCUAUCGGUUGUAGAGAGGCAGCAGAACAUUUACAAUGAGAGACAGCACAUUAUUUAACGCACUGCAACUCUAGCUAUAAACAAACUUUUGUUUGUGAAAUCCCCCUUAUUGGAAUCGCACGACAGUCAUGGACACAUACACAUCCCCAACGUAUUCUGGCGACUUGGCAACACCUUUAUCAGCAAUUUAACGAAAUUGAAAACAAAAAUAAGGUUCGAUAAGGUGGGCCAGAGAUCUCCACACGAGCGUACGUUUACACUGGGCGAGUGUUUGCGGUGAGGAAUCUAGAAAAUAUAGAGCCAGAGCAUUCCCUUCAUGGGGAACUUGUUGUGGCUCGUCGUGAUGUGCUGCGAAUUCCUCAAUUAUUCAAUAUUUACACUGACAUGUACUACUGGAUGACGUCAACGCCACCGGCAACGCCAACGCUCACUUGCAGCCCCACAAUGGCCCCCCCCCGGCCAUCAUUUUACAUAUCCAUUACUGGGUCACUCAUUUGAAAGCCCCUUCCCAGCAAUUGUGUGGUAAAUUGCCCAUUCGAGCGGAGUGAAGCAACCCAAGCCGCCAUCUACAUGCAUAUAUGUACAUAUAAUGAAUGCAGGCCCCUGCAAAUGCCCUGCAAAUUGUGUGUUAGAUUGUUGACAAUGUCUUGGCAAAUUAUUCCACCCUGUGUGUCAGGGCAGAACCAACAGAAGCGUUGUCAUAUGUCGCUAUUAAGUAACAGGUUAAAAAUAUAUAUAUAAACAUUGUAUGCAGAUAGAUAAGACAUAGGUAAUCCAAAAUAGAACAAGCUUUGCUUUCA
Drosophila miranda is the source of this 2608-nucleotide long non-coding RNA. RefSeq lists it as uncharacterized. The transcript has 2 exons. NCBI's taxonomy places the organism in Eukaryota, Metazoa, Arthropoda, Insecta, Diptera, Drosophilidae. The record is from RefSeq and is a predicted model, not a curated record.